CGGCGGACGGGUGGGUAACGCGUGGGUAACCGUAGCUCAUACAGGGGAGUAACAGUUGGAAACGGACUGCUAAUACCGCAUAAGCGCACAGUACCGCAUGGUACGGUGUGAAAAACUCCGGUGGUAUGAGAUGGACCCGCGUCUGAUUAGGUAGUUGGUGGGGUAACGGCCUACCAAGCCGACGAUCAGUAGCCGACCUGAGAGGGUGACCGGCCACAUUGGGACUGAGACACGGCCCAA
RNAcentral lists this ribosomal RNA (240 nucleotides) under uncultured bacterium. RNAcentral describes it as "partial 16S ribosomal RNA". It matches the Rfam family "Bacterial small subunit ribosomal RNA", at positions 96 to 334 of the family's 1533-position model. The record is from RNAcentral.